UGUGGGCGUGCCAUGUGCAGAGGCCCGUGCGCUGGGCCGGGGGAGCCUGCAGAGAGGGGCUUAUCCCGAGGGAGGUAGGCCGUCUGCCCUGACCACGAGGGAGUGGCAGCAUCUAUCUGUGUUUCCGAUCUCCGGCCACGUAGGGCGAACAUUCUGUGCAGAGAGCAGCGGCAGGCCCGUGCGGUCAUCCAGAGGGCCGUGGUGGGGCUCGGUGUACGGCCGUGGUGUGGGCGGGGGAGAGGGUGGCGGGGGGCAGGCACCCAGGAGUGGGACUUAUGUGCCUCCGGGCUCUUGAGCUGAGAAAGAGAGCAAGACAGGUGGGCUGCAGGUGGGGCAUGACCGCCCAGUGGGGUUAGGAAUCCAACUUGGGAGGAGGCUACCAGGAGGCAGUGCAGAAGGUACGAGAAAGGCAUGGACUGCAGGCGUGGUUUGGCACGAAAUCAGCCUGAAGACCGUACGGACGCCAUGAUGUGGACGGGGCCCCACGCAGACCACGGAGGGGGAGGACGUGAGACGUGGAGGACUGAGGCUGUGACCAGGCUGCUCGAAGAAGCAGCAGGGAUGUUGACGCAGCAGAGCGCCCUGAGCGGCCUGGUGGGCCCACGGCCCAGCUCCCGGCGGCCGGGCCAUCGCCACCUCAGCCGAACCCCAGGACCUGGGCUCUGGCAGGAGCCAAGUGAGCGUUUUUACUUCAGCCUUUCCAGCCUGUCGUUGGAGCAGGGUUGUCUCAUCCUUCAGGAAUGUGGCAGGAAUUUGCAGACUUCAAGCCAUCCUCAAAGAAAAGGCCCUUUGUUAAUCGGGAAGCUGGCACCAUUUCCAGCCCCUGGCAAGGCGGCCAGCAGGCGGCACCGGCCGUGCAGGUGGGAGAAGGAGGAGUGGAGAGGGGGGAAGGGUGGAUGCCUCCCGGACUCCAGGUGGCUCUCGGAUCAGGGCUCACGAGUCGCUCCAGACGCGAGGUCGUUCGUUUUCUGAGACCGAGAGUGCCCGGAGCGGGAGCAGUCCGUGCCCCCACACAGGCUCCGGCUCCACCCCUGCGGCCCUGCCAAUACUUCGGGUAAACGCGGCCAAGCCUCCCAGCGGAGAAGCAUGGCUUCGGAGCCCUGGACUCAGGAGCAGGCCCCACCGCCAAAGACAGCACUUCCUUGGAAAUACACUUCCCACCUCAGUUUCCCCCUUGGGAAAAGGCAGGAAGGAAGAACAUGGGAUUGUGCCAAGCUCUAAAUGAGUCAAAAUAGAUAAACAUCUGUUUGUAGAACUGCAAACCACCGUACGAUUGUGCCUUUUAUCGUAACACGUGCUACAGCCGGGUGACAGUAAAUGUAGGACAAGCAUCCCGCUCUAGCACCUUAGGGGGGAUGCGUCAGCUCACAACUUUAAUAAAGUGACUCGCUCUGCAGUCUAUGGACGAACGCUUCGUGCCCCCCCAAAUUUGUGUGUUGAAGCCCUAACUCCCACGGAUUUGGCUGGAUUUGGAGGUGGGGUGAAGAAACGAAGGUCAAAGGCAGCCGCUGGGUGGGCCCCGGCACAGCAGCCUUGCUGUCCUUACGAAGGGAGACCUCCAGGAGCGGCUCUGUCCCCGCGUCCCCGAGCGCAUGGAGAAGGGGGCCAUUCGCGCCCUCACCAGGACCCGAAGCAGCUGGCACCUCGAUCGGGGCCCCGCGUGAAUCUCAGUGCCCGGCCUGCGGCAUUCUGCGGCUACCCAAGCCUGCAAUACAACAAGCAUUUAUAAAUAAUAAGUCACAGAAAGAGAAGGAAAACCCCAGUUUGAAAAUUCAGGUCCACAUGAGGCCGUUGGGCCGUGACUGAGGACCGCGGACGAAGUCCCAGGGACCAAGUGAAGACGGCGCACGGCGUCCUGAGCCGCACCAGCACACGUGGUGGCCCCGUCUCGGCUGCCGAGCCAGAGCCGGCCACGUGUGCGGGCUGGCCGCUGCCACCAUCCCUCCGGGGCGUCCCCGAGAGGACGAAGGCUGUGUCACCGGCACUGCCACACCCGGUGUCCAGCCAGGCUGUUCUCCCCGGCAUCAGAGCAGCCUGCUGUCUUGACCCCAUAGGAUUUCGCGCGCUCCUGACACACGUUCACUGAAAGAGGGGCGUUCUGCAGUCCACGGAGAAGAGAGAUCUCUCUGGGGCCCUGGGAACCAGGAAAAAAAAAUCGCAGAGUGUCAUUUUUGACUUUGACUUUGAAAUGGCAAUGUGCACAUUGUGCUGCCUCAAGCAUCUGAGACCCCAACAGGAUCACAGGAAAAUCCUGGAAAUUAAUGUGACUAUUUCAUCUUCUACUGAGACAACUUUAUUUUCAACUACAGCAAUCUUUCCUUUCCUUUUUUUCUUUCUUUCUUUCUUAUUUUUUUUACAUUGUGAGUUUUUUUUUUAACCAGCAUUUCUAAUGAGUGACAUGCAAAUGAAGAUUGUGUCAGUCGUAGAAAACAUGAAUAUUUAUUAUUGGCUUCUCCUCCUGCCUGGCACUGGGGCCAACCUGCAGCCAGGCUUCCUGUCUCCCGUUGGUGCUCAGCCCGUAGGGUGGCGGGUGCCAGCCCUUCUGUGGUGGGAUCUGACACACAGGGGUGGUCGGUGGUGGAGUCUUCCCAUCCCACAGAGCAGACACUGAGUCCUUACAAACUCUUUGUUCCUCCAAACCACAGCCCCCAUCCAGCUGUCCGUCCCCACGCAGCCCUCACCUCCCCAGCGCUCCUGGGGGACAGCUCAACCCAGGGCCUCGCGUGCUCACACUGACAGAGCUAAGAGCUUCCACCAGGAAAGAAUGAGCCAGGGAAAGACUCUGAACGUGGGGCUUGGGGCGCUGGGCUUGUCCUCCAGCGAGUGGCCUCGGUGAGAAGCUAAGGAGCGGCACACCAGGCUUGGGCUGGGGUGGUUUCAGUGGGAAGCAGAAGGUGAUCCAGGGCUAACGGUGAAAUGCUUGCUCUGUGCUCUCUAGCGACUUCAAUUAAGCGGGCGUGAGCUAAUAAACAGAGAACGGACAGGUUCAAGUAGAUGCCGGUCCUUGGAGGAAGAGGCACAGGGCAUGUCUAUUUUUAAACAUACCUCAAAUUUGAAGUUUGUAAUUGCUAGGGGUAGACCUGCGCCCCUGCCGGUCUCAAGUUCUGAGCCCUGUACCUGGGAAGUGACCUCAUUCAUGGGGUCUUUGUGGACAUUAGCAAGUUAGGAUGAGGCCAUUAGGUGGGACCCUUGUUCAGUGUGACUGAGUCCUUACGAGAAGGGGAAAUGCCAUGUGAGGGCCCAGGGGGUGACCCAGGCAGGCGCUGGGGUGGGGCAGCUGGGAGGAGGAGGCCCCUGACAGAAGGGCAGAGGGCGGGGAGUGGACCCUCCCCUCCGCUCCUCCUGGAGAGUGCGGCCCUGCCCACACCCAGACCUUUGGCCUUCAGAACUGGGAGGGGAUGGGUUUCUGUUGCUCUCAGCCACCCAGGCUGUGGUCCUUUGUUGGGCGGCACCAGGACACCAAUCCAGCCCCUACAGCCAGUGAACUCCUGGACUGAAAUGAACUCGAACUUGUGGCCGAUGUGGGGUGACUCAGCUUUAGAUGUUUUUCAUUGGCAGCUUUGGAAAUAGUUUGAGAGAGCACAGAAGAGCAUAACAUGGCCCCUGUGUGCGCAACACUAAAGAGAAUUAAAAUCUGUUUUGUUUGGGGCUUCCUGCUGAAAUCCCAGUUUAAAAAUCAGAGGUCUAUAAAAUUGGCUCCUUUGUUCUCAGAAGACUCUCAUUGACUGAUGCCACACCAGCAACGGUACACUGGCCGAUGGGAGGCGCUUCGUCGCUGGACCUUUCCGGAACAACGCCCCGGACCACUCCCAUGCCUGGUGGUCCCUGUCCGGCCUCUUGGGAAGCUGAAGGGGUUUAGGUGUUGAUCCUACUGCCUUCCUGGGUUUUUGGCAGAACACCGUGUGUGUUACCCCCUCACUCUUUCUCAACCAGCGUUCCGGCUCCAGAAUCAGACCGCCUUGGCUGAAAGCAGACGAUGUAACUCGUGGCACGUCCAGAGCUCAUUCCGACCAGCCUCCUUUCCAACGUGCUGAUCCCCUGGGAGAGGCGGGGAGUCAGCGUGUCCCUGGACGCUCAGCCCUGACCUUCCCAAGGCGCAUCUCUGGCAGGUCCCACCCACUAAUGCAAACUUGGGUGAUUUGAUGCCAGCUUUCUUGUUCCCACACUUGCAGGGCUGGGUCUGGGAUGAAAGGUCUGCACACACACUCCCUCGAAGCAGGUGCAUCCUGGGUUUCCAGGCGGACGCUGAUGUCAGCCCAGCGCCAGGCCCACACGUCCUGAGCUCCGCGCCCCACAGGGCUGUGGGAUGAAUGCUCGCUCUGUGAGCCUGCGACCUGGGCUGGGGAGGGGGGAAUCUGAUCCCCUUUGUUAAAGGUCCGGGGGAUGCCAGCUGCUGAUGGCCAGGGCGCAUGUCCAGAAUCAUCCUCUCCUAAGACUGGGUUUCUCUUGGCCUUUACCCACUCCUGGUCUGUAACCAGAUACCGCGACACAGAAAGGUUAGCCUUUCUGCUCGUUUUUCACUUGAAAGGCACUGUGAAACUAGAAUUUGAAAAGAAAAAAAAAUAUUUGUUUUUAGAUAGCACUCCCACCCCGGGGAAGUUUCUCCGGAUCUGACAACAUUAACUCAUUCCCUUCUAAUGUACGGGACACUUUUAUUCAGUACUUACUGCACACCAACAUGGCGCUAACCGCUUUUCUUCCAUUUUAUCAUUUAUAUUCACUAACGUUCUAUCAGAUAGGUUUUUACUGCCAGCGUUUAAUAGAUGCAAAGACAGACUCAGAAAGGGGAUGUACGAUGUGGCAGGUGGUAAGGCUAGCUACCUACAGGAGUGAGGGCCUAACCAAGGAGGGAGGAGAGACAGAGAGCGACAGAGACAGAGCAGGGGCGACGGAUCGUGCCGUGGCCGUGCAGGGUGAGAGAGUGGAGCUGUGGCAAGGUGUUCUCAGCCCACGUUCCGUGUGGCUGCGUGUUGCUGGCAAAUCCUCUCUGCACGGUGUUCCUACUCUUUGAUGCUGCAGAUCCCAGACACCUGUGAAGGCCUGUCUCGAGCCACAGAGGUCAGGCCAGUGCAUCUCUAUCACCCUGACCCCUGCAGCCGGCCUGGAACCUGUCUGAGAAAGCAUAUUUACCUGCUUCGAAGCUUUUCCGCAGAGAUUUCACUCCUCAGCCAUCGAGGAGCCGCAGCCCAGUCAUCAUGUGAUGCUUUCCCACUCGUGGUCCACGGGCCUCUCCACAGAGCCUGACACGAGGCUGGGCCUGCAGGUGCGGGAGGUGCAGGAAGGGCAAGGUGACGGUGACCUUCCUGUCUGCCCUUCCCGUGCUCCCUGGAGAGAAGGCCUACGGGUGUGUGUGCGCGAGACUUCACCUGUCAGUUUAGAGGAAAUAGAGCAAAACCCGUGCACUCCCAUUUCCUCCAGAAGCCCUGCUGUGGGCCCCAGCAAGGCCAGUGCGCUCGUCCCCGCCAGGCCCCAGAUCUCAGACACGCGGACUCCAGGACCAGAAACACCCUCCUACCCUUUCAAACCCCGGUCUGUGCAAAGUGUCACGGCGGCCCUGAGAAACGAGUGUGCCGAUCUUCUUCGACGGACGAGGGGGCGACCUCCUGGUAAACCUGUGUCGGCCGUGGACUUCCGUGGUCACGUGGCUGGCUCAUAACUGCCAUUUCAGAGCCACGGCCCAGCGUCCGAGUGAGGAUCGGACCGCGUGCCUCUCGCCCGGGACAAGAUCCAAAUUCAAAGCUCCAAGUACGAUUUGUGGUGAAAUGCUUUGAUUUUGCACUGCCGUGAAGUCCAAACACCGUCAAGGUGACCCGUUGUGAAGCCAUGGGCGUCUGUGGUAGGAAAACUGUGAAUAAAAGUGUAUUUAGGAACAUUGUCACCUAAAUUAAUGUUUAUUUUCUGUUCUACAUUAACACGUAUUCGCUGUGCAAACUCAGUUUUAAAACAAGCCCCUUCGCCUGCCUUCCGGUCAAAGGGCUGCCCCCCAGCCUAAGCCCUUUGGGGAGAGGCACUGGAGCCACGGCCACGAGGAGCCACGGCCGCGGGUUUGUGGACCGUGCCCCGAGGCGCAUGGCGCUGCGAGAGAAACCGCCCGGCCACCUGGAUCCGGAGGGAGAAUGAAUAUUGACGAGCACUGUGUGCCUCUCGCGCUCGGACGUUGAACCUGGUGAACACACCUUCCUCUUGGCUCCUGGGAAGCAGGUCUGCCUCAGUGGGUCCUUGGCCCCCAAGGUUCGUGGUUUAAACUGUGGACUCUAAAGGCCUGGAGACUGCCUCCCGGGCUGGGCCAGGCUUGGACCUCAAGCGCUUCCAGGCCAUUCUGAUGGGCGCUGAAGGUUGGAGCUGCGGCUGCAGACUCCCAGGGCCCGGCCCGGCUGAGGGACCCCAGGUAGAACCGGGCCAGCGCCAUGCAGAGACCCCCACGGGGGUGCGCCCACAGCCCACGCAGGACACGGUCAUGUGACGAGCUCCCUCACAGUGGAGAAGGAGCUAAUUCAAGUUGUGCGGGAGGAAAAGGGCUUGGUGAUCUCUCUGCAGGAAACUCUUCAAAAUGCUAGUCAUCAUCAGGCACUUAAUUAGCAAAAAGGCCUCGUUCGGAUGAGCCCCUGCUUUCAGCACAGUUUUGCUGCCUGAUGUUCUGUACGAAGUGAUGGGGCUGGAGAGGGAGCGAGUCUCCCGGCCUGCAGCAAGGUGCCCGCAAGCGCUGGGAGCUUGUCUGCUUGGGGCCAAGGCUACUGCCUCACAUCUUCUCCACAGCCACUGCGGGUCCAAACAACACCAAGGGUUGCUGUGAGGAUCCAUGGGGCUCAUGGAGCCUCAGGACCCGGCACGUACCUGGUGCUCAAGAAAGCGGCCAUGGCGACGGUUCACGUAUCAUUGUCCUGCUGCCUCCUCUCCCUGGCCCGGCCUGCCGGGGUCCGCGGCAAACAGCUGCAGCCUGAACCACUGUUUCCAGAAGGUCGGGUAGGAGCACGUGACCCUGUCCCCAAGACUUUCCUCGGCAGACAUGCUACAGCGUGGUACCUUCCAUCGUCCCACAAAGGCCUCAGGCGGCUCAAGGGCCAUAGGUCCACGUGCAAUCCCACUAUGCAACCCGCCGACUUGCGCGAGCAGCCUGCAUGCAGCCUCAGGCCCCGCCUGCAACAUCGGAACAGUGGCAGGGAGGCUGUGUGUCUCCCACUCAGGGGCGAGCUGUCCAGGGAGCUGCCCUGAGCUUGCCUGGCAGCUGGACCUGUCGUCUGCCCACAGUGCUGGCCCCGGAGCCUGGCUGCCUCCCUUUUGAGUCGCCUCCCAGGGGGCCCAGCGGUGACAGGCACCUGCUCUCCGGGUCGGGCUGCGCAGCCCCAGCCACCCUCCUGCAGUCCACGAGAGCCCUCCGGUAGACGCCUCCUUCCUGCCUUGAUGGAAUCCACAGGCGAAGUGGGGGGUUUGCCCUCCUAGGUGGCUGCAGGUUCCCUGGUCCCCGUGCCACCAAAAACAUCUUCAGACAAGACUGUCCUGAGAAGCGCCCCCGCUCGGGGCUGCCCUCGCCCUGCAGGCUCAUCUCCGCUCUGACGUGGGCCCUUUCCUGCCCCUCGGGGUCUUGCCAUGAGUUGACAUCAGAGGCCUCACGUUCCCCAGUGGUUGUCAGCACUUUCCCUGAGGGGACAGUGAAUCCGGGCCACCAGAGUGGACCUGGGGCUCCCAGGGCUACCCUGCCCAUCCUCGGAGGGCUGGCGGGGGCCUUAACAGCCGUGGGCAGCGAGUUUUCCCUAAGCCCUUGACCCGCUCGCUAUCGGAAACACAAAUGACCUCCGUUUACCUGGCUGAGAACAGAGGCACGGAAAGGGGGGAAGGGCGUAGGAGCUGGUGUACUUCCUGCCGAUCGGAAGUUGGAGCUGGGACGGAACCAGGCAAUCUGAGGCCAGACUCCUCACUCUUCCCAAAUCCCGAAUCCCGAAUCCUGAUGUCGCUGAUGCAAGUCCUUUGUCCCUGCGUGGAACUAUCUGUGGGAUGUUCUAGGUCAGAAUGCGUGGGCUGCGGCCAGCAGGUCAGGGGGCAGGGACCCACUCGCACCUAGAAGGCAUCAAGGUCUGUGCCUGUGCUCAGCUCCUGCCAUCUGGGGUGGUUUCGUCUGUGCAGAGGGGCCAUCGAGCCACCUCCACGGGGCCUGGUGACUGAUGAGAGGAGUCCGCACGUAGUCCCAUGGACGGGGCUCGCUCACGUGGGGACAGAGGCUGCAGGCGGCUGGCGGAGAGACGAGUCUGUGCUGCUUUUGGUGAUCCAUUUCAUUGCUGGCCGCAGGGUAGGGAUUUUGGUGCGAAAAAUUUAAUUUCAAACUAAGUCCUAUGAAAACUAUCUUCCAAGAGCUCCUAUCGUUGUGGCUAUUCUCAAUAAGGCAGCGAAGUUUCAUCAGUUCAUUAGGGUCUCAGUCAGUCCAAGUUCUGGGGGCUGGAAGUCCAAGCUCA
Long non-coding RNA from Ailuropoda melanoleuca (giant panda), 8447 nucleotides. RefSeq lists it as uncharacterized. Lineage: Eukaryota; Metazoa; Chordata; Mammalia; Carnivora; Ursidae. The record is from RefSeq and is a predicted model, not a curated record. The transcript is spliced from 5 exons.